Molecule: long non-coding RNA, 1839 nt
Filed under: Lactuca sativa (garden lettuce)
Lineage: Eukaryota; Viridiplantae; Streptophyta; Magnoliopsida; Asterales; Asteraceae
Description: long non-coding RNA (LSAT_LNC001717)
Source: RNAcentral
AGAAAUUGUGGUGCAAGGAGGGAAGAGUUUUGGCUAAAGGAACUGCAAGGGAUUCAAGUUCUGAGGUUUGGGGACACAGAGAGUGUGUUAUUCAGGUAAUAAUUCGGAUCAUUUCUGUUAUAUUGAUGUGUGCAUGGAUCUAGGGUUUAUGGAACCCAUUUGGUGAUUAGAUGGAUUAUUACUUUGUUAAUCAAACGGAUAUAACCCUGUAUUAGGACCUUUAGAGGUCCAGAAGGUCCCAUGCUUGUGUAUUUCGGAACCAUAAUUGUCCCAGGAUGCAGUUUGAGCGGCUGCAUGGCAUGGACUCGCCGAGUCCGAUGAACAGACUCGGCGAGUAGCUUGAAGAUUAACUGGGACUCGUCGAGUUGUUCUUCAGACUCGGCGAGUUGAGUCGGGGUGGCCCCACGAUUCUUCCAGGAGGAACUCGUCGAGUAAAAAGGGGAUACUCGACGUGUAGAAAGGGAAUCUUAAGGAAUCGGUGAGUCAAGGGCGAGUGGACUCAGAGUCGUUGAACUCGGCGAGUCUUGGGGUGACUCGGCGAGUUAGGUCGCGGGUUAAGUGAAGUUCUGAGUAUGGGGACUCGGCGAGUCAUAGGGUUGACUCGGCGAGUAGGGUCAGUCAGGGGUUGACUUUGACCUUGUCUUUGACCAAGGAUUGACCAGUGGUUCCAGGGGUAUUUUGGUAAUUGUUGUUUAUUGUUUGAGUUCAGUGCAUUGGUGACUGUCCAGAGGUGGAGAUCGUAUCAGUGAUCGGAGCAGCUUGAGCUAUCUGUUCAGUCGGCAGUUUCGAGGUGAGUUAUCCUCACUAUAUCGCUAGGGUUUAUGGUGCAAAGGCCGACCCUUUUAUCGGAUGGAAAUCCGGGUAGUUGUCAUUAUAUGUUACAGGCCGGAAGGCAUUACUAUGUGGACCGGAAGGUCAUGGCCUGGAAAGGCGUAUGUAUGCAUUUAGUAUGUUGACUGGUUCAUAGGGUAAUGUUAUGAUAGUGACCGGCUAGACCGGUAUCCUGUUAGAGUAAUGCUAUGAUAUGUGAUCUGUUGAUCGAUUGUUGUCUAUGAACUGCUAUAUGAUUGCUUGAUAUGUUAUAUGUGCAUUCUAUGCUUAUGGGCCGGAAGGCAAUAUGUUAUGGGCCGGAAGGCAAUAUGUUAUGGGCCGGAAGGCGAUUAUGUUGUGUGAUGGACCGGAAGGUCGGCGUGGGUAGGACCGGAAGGUUUACCCAGCAGGGACGGAAGUCCCCUGAGACACAUGGACCGGAAGGUCAGGGCCUGGAAAGGCGUAUAUGUGGUUGGUAUUCUGGGGGUAUCUCACUAAGCUUUCGGGCUUACAGUCGUGGUUUUAUGUUUCAGGUUCUCAGGAGUCUGUGGCAAGGCAAAGGCGUGAUCGUACCGUUCCUCGCGUUGAUGUUUUAUGAUAUGAACCUGGGAAAUUACUCUGUUAAAUAAUGUAUUGAAAACCUUUUUGUAACAAUGUUAAUAAAAUGGAUGAUUUUGAAAAGUUUUAAUUAUUUUGAAAUUUUGGAUGUUACACAAUGUUUAUCUAACAGGUACUAAGUCCCUAGCUACCAGCGUUUAUUCAAUUGGCACUAAGUCCAUAGCUGCCAAUGUUAUUUAUUAGGCAUUAAGUCUAUAGCUGCCUGUGUUCACUCAUAUCAUCCUUCAUCUCUCAUCUUUAAUCUACCCAUGUUUUACCUAACAUAUUCGUAGAUAUAAAAUACAUAUACAGUUUAAAUCAUUUAAAACUUGUAUAAAAUCAUUCAUCCAACAUAGAUAGCAAGUAUACAGAUAAUAUGCACACAUAGCACGUAGUUUAUAUAAAAUACUUCAUAUCUAUGCGUAAGAUGAA